RNAcentral lists this ribosomal RNA (1690 nucleotides) under Campylobacter coli. Its description in RNAcentral is "partial 23S ribosomal RNA". It matches the Rfam family "Bacterial large subunit ribosomal RNA", at positions 1244 to 2925 of the family's 2925-position model. Lineage: Bacteria; Pseudomonadati; Campylobacterota; Epsilonproteobacteria; Campylobacterales; Campylobacteraceae. The record is from RNAcentral. RNAcentral also lists the same sequence under 1 other name.
UUUGCGUCGAAGGUAUACCGGUAAGGAGUGCUGGAGCGAAUAGAAGUGAGCAUGCAGGCAUGAGUAGCGAUAAUUAAUGUGAGAAUCAUUAACGCCGUAAACCCAAGGUUUCCUACGCGAUGCUCGUCAUCGUAGGGUUAGUCGGGUCCUAAGUCGAGUCCGAAAGGGGUAGACGAUGGCAAAUUGGUUAAUAUUCCAAUACCAACAUUAGUGUGCGAUGGAAGGACGCUUAGGGCUAAGGGGGCUAGCGGAUGGAAGUGCUAGUCUAAGGUCGUAGGAGGUUAUACAGGCAAAUCCGUAUAACAAUACUCCGAGAACUGAAAGGCUUUUUGAAGUCUUCGGAUGGAUAGAAGAACCCCUGAUGCCGUCGAGCCAAGAAAAGUUUCUAAGUUUAGCUAAUGUUGCCCGUACCGUAAACCGACACAGGUGGGUGGGAUGAGUAUUCUAAGGCGCGUGGAAGAACUCUCUUUAAGGAACUCUGCAAAAUAGCACCGUAUCUUCGGUAUAAGGUGUGGUUCGCUUCGUAUUAGGAUUUACUCCGAAAGCGAAGAAACUUACAACAAAGAGUCCCUCCCGACUGUUUACCAAAAACACAGCACUCUGCUAACUCGUAAGAGGAUGUAUAGGGUGUGACGCCUGCCCGGUGCUCGAAGGUUAAUUGAUGGGGUUAGCAUUAGCGAAGCUCUUGAUCGAAGCCCGAGUAAACGGCGGCCGUAACUAUAACGGUCCUAAGGUAGCGAAAUUCCUUGUCGGUUAAAUACCGACCUGCAUGAAUGGCGUAACGAGAUGGGAGCUGUCUCAAAGAGGGAUCCAGUGAAAUUGUAGUGGAGGUGAAAAUUCCUCCUACCCGCGGCAAGACGGAAAGACCCCGUGGACCUUUACUACAGCUUGACACUGCUACUUGGAUAAGAAUGUGCAGGAUAGGUGGGAGGCUUUGAGUAUAUGACGCCAGUUGUAUAUGAGCCAUUGUUGAGAUACCACUCUUUCUUAUUUGGGUAGCUAACCAGCUUGAGUUAUCCUCAAGUGGGACAAUGUCUGGUGGGUAGUUUGACUGGGGCGGUCGCCUCCCAAAUAAUAACGGAGGCUUACAAAGGUUGGCUCAGAACGGUUGGAAAUCGUUCGUAGAGUAUAAAGGUAUAAGCCAGCUUAACUGCAAGACAUACAAGUCAAGCAGAGACGAAAGUCGGUCUUAGUGAUCCGGUGGUUCUGUGUGGAAGGGCCAUCGCUCAAAGGAUAAAAGGUACCCCGGGGAUAACAGGCUGAUCUCCCCCAAGAGCUCACAUCGACGGGGAGGUUUGGCACCUCGAUGUCGGCUCAUCGCAUCCUGGGGCUGGAGCAGGUCCCAAGGGUAUGGCUGUUCGCCAUUUAAAGCGGUACGCGAGCUGGGUUCAGAACGUCGUGAGACAGUUCGGUCCCUAUCUGCCGUGGGCGUAAGAAGAUUGAAGAGAUUUGACCCUAGUACGAGAGGACCGGGUUGAACAAACCACUGGUGUAGCUGUUGUUCUGCCAAGAGCAUCGCAGCGUAGCUAAGUUUGGAAAGGAUAAACGCUGAAAGCAUCUAAGCGUGAAGCCAACUCUAAGAUGAAUCUUCUCUAAGCUCUCUAGAAGACUACUAGUUUGAUAGGCUGGGUGUGUAAUGGAUGAAAGUCCUUUAGCUGACCAGUACUAAUAGAGCGUUUGGCUUAUCUUU